This 333-nucleotide unclassified non-coding RNA is filed under the name uncultured fungus. RNAcentral's name for it is "partial contains 5.8S ribosomal RNA and internal transcribed spacer 2". The stretch from base 1 to 134 matches the Rfam family "5.8S ribosomal RNA", at positions 22 to 154 of the family's 154-position model. The record is from RNAcentral. Lineage: Eukaryota; Fungi.
UGGCUCUGGCAUNGAUGAAGAACGCAGCGAAAUGCGAUAAGUAGUGUGAAUUGCAGAAUUCAGCGAAUCAUCGAAUCUUUGAACGCACAUUGCGCCCUUUGGUUAUUCCUUAGGGCAUGCCUGUUCGAGCGUCAUUUCAACCUUCAAGCCCAGCUUGGUGUUGGGUGCUGUCCCGCCUCCCGCGCGCGGACUCUCCCCAAAUCGAUUGGCAGCCGCAACCCUCCCCCGCCGCGUGCGCAGCACUUCUGUCCGCAGCGGGGGCACGAACGGGUCGGGGCGCUCCAGAAGACAAUCAACCGUCUUGACCUCGGAUCAGGUAGGGAUACCCGCUGA